RNAcentral lists this ribosomal RNA (460 nucleotides) under uncultured bacterium. Its description in RNAcentral is "partial 16S ribosomal RNA". It matches the Rfam family "Bacterial small subunit ribosomal RNA", at positions 338 to 795 of the family's 1533-position model. The record is from RNAcentral.
CCUACGGGAGGCAGCAGUGAGGAAUAUUGGUCAAUGGACGAGAGUCUGAACCAGCCAAGUAGCGUGAAGGAUGACUGCCCUAUGGGUUGUAAACUUCUUUUAUAAAGGAAUAAAACGUUGCACGUGUGCCUUUUUGUAUGUACUAUAUGCAUAAGGAUCGGCUAACUCCGUGCCAGCAGCCGCGGUAAUACGGAGGAUCCGAGCGUUAUCCGGAUUUAUUGGGUUUAAAGGGAGCGUAGGUGGGUUGUUAAGUCAGUUGUGAAAGUUUGCGGCUCAACCGUAAAAUUGCAAUUGAUACUGGCAGUCUUGAGUACAGUUGAGGUGGGCGGAAUUCGUGGUGUAGCGGUGAAAUGCUUAGAUAUCACGAAGAACCCCGAUUGCGAAGGCAGCUUACUAAACUGUGACUGACAUUGAGGCUCGAAAGUGUGGGUAUCAAACAGGAUUAGAUACCCGAGGAGUC